This 408-nucleotide ribosomal RNA is filed under the name uncultured bacterium. Its description in RNAcentral is "bacterial SSU rRNA". It matches the Rfam family "Bacterial small subunit ribosomal RNA", at positions 355 to 777 of the family's 1533-position model. The record is from RNAcentral.
UGGGGAAUAUUGGGCAAUGGGCGAAAGCCUGACCCAGCAACGCCGCGUGAGGGAAGAAGGGUUUCGGCUCGUAAACCUCUGUCCUAUGGGACGAAGGAAGUGACGGUACCAUAGGAGGAAGCCCCGGCUAACUACGUGCCAGCAGCCGCGGUAAUACGUAGGGGGCGAGCGUUGUCCGGAAUGAUUGGGCGUAAAGGGCGCGUAGGCGGCCCGUUAAGUCUGGAGUGAAAGUCCUGCUUUCAAGGUGGGAAUUGCUUUGGAUACUGAUGGGCUGGAGUGCAGGAGAGGAAAGCGGAAUUACCGGUGUAGCGGUGAAAUGCGUAGAGAUCGGUAGGAACACCAGUGGCGAAGGCGGCUUUCUGGACUGAAACUGACGCUGAGGCGCGAAAGCGUGGGGAGCAAACAGGA